RNAcentral lists this ribosomal RNA (497 nucleotides) under uncultured bacterium. RNAcentral describes it as "partial 16S ribosomal RNA". It matches the Rfam family "Bacterial small subunit ribosomal RNA", at positions 28 to 507 of the family's 1533-position model. The record is from RNAcentral.
GUUGAACGCUGGCGGCAUGCCUAACACAUGCAAGUCGAACGGUAACAGGAAGCAGCUUGCUGCUUUGCUUACGAGGGGCGGGCGGGUGAGUCAUGUCUGGGAAACUGCCCGAUGGAGGGGGAUAACUACUGGAAGCGGUAGCUAAUCCCGCAUAACUUCUCAAGCGCAAGGUGGAGGACCUUAAGGCCUCUUUGCAUCCACUUUUCCCUGAAUCGAUUCGGUAGUAGGUGGUAGGAGGGGUAACGGAUUACCAAGGCGACGAUCCAUAGCUGGUCUGAGAGGAUGACCAGCCACACUGGAACUGAGACACGGUCCAGACUCCUACGGGAGGCAGCAGUGGGGAAUAUUGCACAAUGGGCGCAAGCCUGAUGCAGCAAUGCCGCGUGUAUGAAGAAGGCCUUCGGGUUGUAAAGUACUUUUAGCGGGGAGGAAGGGAGUAAAGUUAAUACCUGCGCUCAUUGACGUUACCCGAAGAAGAAGCACCGGCUAACUCCGUG